GACGAACGCUGGCGGCGUGCUUAACACAUGCAAGUCGAACGGAAAGGCCCUGCUUUUGUGGGGUGCUCGAGUGGCGAACGGGUGAGUAACACGUGAGUAACCUGCCCUUGACUUUGGGAUAACUUCAGGAAACUGGGGCUAAUACCGGAUAGGAGCUCCUGCUGCAUGGUGGGGGUUGGAAAGUUUCGGCGGUUGGGGAUGGACUCGCGGCUUAUCAGCUUGUUGGUGGGGUAGUGGCUUACCAAGGCUUUGACGGGUAGCCGGCCUGAGAGGGUGACCGGCAACAGUGGGACUAAGAGACGGGCCAGAGGACGACGGGAGGAAGCAGUGGGGGAGAUGGCACAAGGGGCGGAGGAAGGAUGCAGAAACGGCGCGUGAGGGGGGACGGCCUUCGGGUUGGAGACCGAUGCCGCCGGUGACGAAGCGUGAGUGACGGUAAUGGGUAAAGAGGCACGGGCUAACUACGUG
This 468-nucleotide ribosomal RNA is filed under the name uncultured bacterium. RNAcentral's name for it is "partial 16S ribosomal RNA". It matches the Rfam family "Bacterial small subunit ribosomal RNA", at positions 28 to 507 of the family's 1533-position model. The record is from RNAcentral.